AUGUCCACAGUGCUGGCGUGCAGAGAGCCUAACUGUACACUGCUUCCCAGAACAGAGUUAGAGCAGACGAUGCUUUUGGGUCAGAAGACUUCACACCCAUUCAGUCACUCACUUAUUCAUUCAUUCAUUCUCCCAUCCAUCCAUUCAUCCACCCAGCCAUCCAUCUAUCCAUCCAUCCAUCCAUCCAUCCACACAUCCAUCCAUCCGUCCAUCCAUCCAUCCAUCCACCCACUCAUCCACACAUCCAUCCAUCCGUCCAUCCAUCCAUCCAUCCACCCUGCAGAUACUCAUCAAGGGCCCUGGGAGUGGCAGGCAGUGGUAGGUGCUGGGGACCCAACUGUGAGCAUCAAGGCUCUGCCUCAUGGAGCUGAUGCGACAGGAGGAGAGACAGACAAUACACUGGCUUCUAGGCCUGAGAAUGAUGCCAAGUGCUGGGGAGAACACAGAAGGGUAGGAGGAUGGGUGAUGGGGUCGGGAGAGAGCUAUUCCAGGGAGAAUGGGGCUGGGUGUGUUCAAGGGACCAAAAGCUCAGAUUGUGAAAUGCCCCGUAAGGUGGGAACUGCAGAAGGUGGAGCCGAUGUCCCUGGUGAACGCCCAUCCUGCCCUUGGACUUUACCCGCCCACCCGUGCCCACCAUCUUCCAGUGCUUGUUUAUGGACCUGGAUGAGCCUCCGACUUCUUGCGGGUGUCGAGAUCCUUCGCCACGGGGCUUCUCGUCAUCUUCCAUCAGUGGACACCGCGAGCUGGCUGGGCCCCUUCCUGGUGCACCCGGGCGGGUCCUUUCCCCGUACCGUGCACGCCGAGCAGGGAGGGGUGCGUCCAGUCACCGUCGUACCCGCUGCACUGGGCCCUGGUCACUCAUACCCUCACUGCACGGUCCUGACGUUUGGGGGACACACAGGACACACUGACCAGAAGGCCCAAACAAGCAACAGGCGUCCCGGCCCCUUGCCAGCCCCUGAGGAGAGUCUGGUUUAUGGGCAGCUAACGUGUCCCACCAUCUCGUCCUGA
This 1011-nucleotide long non-coding RNA is filed under the name Delphinapterus leucas (beluga whale). RNAcentral describes it as "lncRNA (ENSDLEG00000007418.1)". Lineage: Eukaryota; Metazoa; Chordata; Mammalia; Artiodactyla; Monodontidae. The record is from RNAcentral.